This 28-nucleotide non-coding RNA is filed under the name Bombyx mori (domestic silkworm). Lineage: Eukaryota; Metazoa; Arthropoda; Insecta; Lepidoptera; Bombycidae. The record is from RNAcentral.
UAUCAUCGGCAGCCUAUUGGCAUACAGU